Molecule: long non-coding RNA, 457 nt
Organism: Varroa destructor (honeybee mite)
Lineage: Eukaryota; Metazoa; Arthropoda; Arachnida; Mesostigmata; Varroidae
Source: RefSeq, a predicted model, not a curated record
GCACGUUAGCCGCCCAGGCCACGCCGCCCACUCUGGUAGCGUUGCUGGAUGAUGAUAAUACUGGCAUCCGUGACGCCAGCCAAUAGCUCCAACUGAAAACUCUCGCUGAGCUAAAUCAAGACAGAAUGCAUGUUCGUGGACCUACGUCUCAGUUUUUAGGUUGAAAAUAGCCCUGGAAACGCGGAAACUUAACACAGCCUUUGAUGCAAGGAAAUAUCCGACGGCGAUCGAUAAACUUCGAGGAUCUGAGCAAAAACCUUGUGGAAAUGGUCAAAAACCCGCUGAGGGAUUUGUGACAGACACCUAGAUGAAAUUAACAUUCGGCAACAAGGAGCCCAAAGCUAAGGUGGCACCUCUCUCGCUUUUCACACGGAAGCCUGUUCGGCAAUUGUUGGUACCGAUCGAAAGCUUUCAACGAGCUGAAUCGUGUUUUACUUACUAGAUCGAAAACGGCGUU